AUGCAGCGAUGCCGCGUGAGUGAAGAAGGCCCUUGGGUUGUAAAGCUCUUUCGUCGGGGAAGAAAAUGACUGUACCCGAAUAAGAAGGUCCGGCUAACUUCGUGCCAGCAGCCGCGGUAAUACGAAGGGACCUAGCGUAGUUCGGAAUUACUGGGCUUAAAGAGUUCGUAGGUGGUUGAAAAAGUUGGUGGUGAAAUCCCAGAGCUUAACUCUGGAACUGCCAUCAAAACUUUUCAGCUAGAGUUUGAUAGAGGAAAGCAGAAUUUCUAGUGUAGAGGUGAAAUUCGUAGAUAUUAGAAAGAAUACCAAUUGCGAAGGCAGCUUUCUGGAUCAUUACUGACACUGAGGAACGAAAGCAUGGGUAGCGAAGAGGAUUAGAUACCCUCGUAGUCCAUGCCGUAAACGAUGUGUGUUAGACGUUGGAAAUUUAUUUUCAGUGUCGCAGCGAAAGCGAUAAACACACCGCCUGGGGAGUACGACCGCAAGGUUAAAACUCAAAUGAAUUGACGGGGACCCGCACAAGUAGUGGAGCAUGUGGUUUAAUUCGAAGAUACGCGCAGAACCUUACCAACACUUGACAUGUUCGUCGCGACUUUAAGAGAUUAAAGUUUUCGGUUCGGCCGGACGAAACACAGGUGCUGCAUGGCUGUCGUCAGCUCGUGUCGUGAGAUGUUGGGUUAAGUCCCGCAACGAGCGCAACCCUCACUUUUAGUUGCCAUCAUUAAGUUGGG
Molecule: ribosomal RNA, 731 nt
Filed under: uncultured marine bacterium
Lineage: Bacteria
Description: bacterial SSU rRNA
Rfam family: Bacterial small subunit ribosomal RNA
Source: RNAcentral